This 2291-nucleotide ribosomal RNA is filed under the name Triticum aestivum (bread wheat). Its description in RNAcentral is "partial small subunit ribosomal RNA". Lineage: Eukaryota; Viridiplantae; Streptophyta; Magnoliopsida; Poales; Poaceae. The record is from RNAcentral.
AAAUAAUUUCAUUAUGCAAAUGAUUAUUAUUUUUCUCCGAGAAUGUUACAAUGACAUCUGCACAUCGUCGCUUCUUAUCUCCCAGCCGCCACCUGCACAGGGCACACUCCGACCAUGCAACCGCCAAGGUCGCCGACCACAUCGUGCACGUCCACGCCAUCGACCUCGGCGGACGGUGGCGCAAUGUUCGUCAGUAUGUCCUGUUGGUCGAGGAGCGCGAAGGAAGUGGGUUGAGGGAAGUGGGGGCGGCGGCAGAAGCAGCAUGGGUGUCCUACGGUGAGCGCUUUGAGGGAUUCUGCAGAGCAGUUCUCCCCGGAGGCCUGAUGCAUCCAACCGUACAAGGAAACUUAAAAACUACACCACAACUCUUAGGCUUGCCAAAAUAUGAGGAUUAUCACUCAGUCAUGAGCGAAACUGGAUGUACCCGGUAAGGAUGGAGGCGAGAUGGGGCCAUAGAGCCCCCUUUUGCGCAGGAGGGAGUAGAUCUGAGCCGAAGGCAACAAUUGUGGCCGCUUCCAGAGCCGAAGCCACUUGCGGAGUCAAUGUCAUGGUCGCCCCAGAGCGGAAUCCAUCGCCUAGGCCACAAGAGUAGGAGCUGCUGUCGCGGAGGUCAUCUCUGAACCUAAACUGAAGUUUCUAUGGAUGGAGGUCAGGACCAAGCUUUAGGCAGGAAAAUGGGACAAUCUUCAGUAAGCUACAAUGUUCAUGUCUUCUUAUAUCAUUUGACUGAUGUGUUCUUGUAUCAUUCUUCUACUUUCGGAGCUAUUACUGCGAUCAUUUUGACCUCAUGUCUUCUUAUAUCAUUUGACCUUAUCUAGAUAUUAGUGGUUCUUAAUCCAGCAAGGUCUUGAAUAUUUUUCGCUUUGUCCAUUCAAAAUUUUGUUCCUCUAGCAACGUUCAUGGUUUAAGCUUUGAUUCGAAAAACAACUUUCAAUUUUAUAGGAGACACAAAGAGCAACAACAAGCCGCUGUAGAUAUUGUGUAGUAGCAACAUUAAUGAUCUGCUAAUGUUAUAUUUUUUUCUUCUUUCCUUAAUAUCUACAUGACCAAUGUGUAUUUUUAAUGAUCAAACAUGCACAUGUCACAUUAAGAGGUUGAGAGUAGCUCAAAAGAUAUGCAUACAUCCUCUACCUUUUACCUAAUGAAAUAUUUCUAAAACCAUAGUAGAUGUCAGGUGUAAAUUCCAUGAAGAACUGUUGGUUUUUGUAAUUAUUUCGUGAAACUUUCAUUGUAGGGUUCUAGGAUUGGUGAAUAAGCAGGGUUGUUUUCUUUCUUUAGUAUCUGCAUGAUCAAGUCGGUCUGUACUUUUAAUGAUCAUACCUGCACAUGUCACAUUAAGAUUGAAUAUAUUGUGACUUUUCUAACCAUUUCUUGUUAAUUGCUUGGGGAAAAACUAAUAGGAAUAUUUUUCUUAGAAAUCUCAAGGAAGUAAUUGUUCUCACUGUUUUGGUAAAAUAACAUAUAUUUUUGUUGUAUGUAUACUUAAUUUCAGGAGAUGUAGAUUUUCUUGUUAUCUUAUAUAUGUUCCUUUUUUUUCUUGUGAAAAAUGAGUUCAACAAGGGCUCCUCAUUCUGGCCUCCUGGGGUUGAAAUGAUUACUCCUUUAAUUGAUUUGAAGAUUGUUAAUUUUUUAUAUUUGGAAACGCUUGGAAGCUUUCCUUUGUUUUGGCGUUAUGAAGAUCUUACGCUUGUCGCCGCUCCAACGCCGUCAGCCGCACCCGCUUCGGCGGCUCGCCCGGUUUGCCGUUGUUGCUCGGCCACACAUGGGCGAUGACUGGUGAAACCAUGCAAGUCAGCGUGAAAACCACUUUUGUUAAAUCAAAGGACUCGAGUUAUCCGGUUUAAAGAAUUGAGGGACUAAGUUUUGCUGGUUUUGAAGUUAAGGGACCGUUUCUAUACUUUCGAGAGAGUUUAGGGAUGAAAAAUAUACUUUUCCCUACUUGCUAUGAUGUUCGAAUUUGACUGUUCUGUCGUAAUCACCAAUCACCACAGUUAACACACUACACAUGAUUCUGCUUGCAGAAACCCAACAGUUAAUGGAGAAAUCAGGUCACUUUGCAUCUACUUUGCCUCAGUUUUUUCAGAAGUCAACAGAGUUUGUAAAAAAAAAGAAACAUGAUCCUGCGGCGGUUGCCCAGACUUUUUUUUUUCUGGGGUAGCAAUGUUUGGAUGGGACAUGUCCCUCCUUUCGUAACCACUUUGUAAUUUCUACUUGUGCUAUGUAAUAGACGGCUUACAUAAAAAGGCAGUAUGUUUUGUAGAUACUCCCUCUGUUGAGAAUAAUUGUCACUA